GUUGGAUUACUAACCUACCCACCACAACAACGGCAGCUUGUAGAUGCAAAAAUUACUAGCCACGUCUAAAAAAAAUAUCAUACACGCUCGUGAGAGAGCAGAGGGCUGAUUUCUCUCUAUCGUUGAAGCUACUACUACGGCGCCAUAACCUUUCUAUGGCUAAUGUUAUAAACUGUGUAUAUUGUCCAUCCAUUUGUUCAUAAUCAUAAAAACUAAAAAUAAAAGAAAAGGUUCCGAGGGAACAGCAGCCAUUUAUGCAUGAAAACAUUUCUUCAGACCUGAUAUGAAGGAAAUACAGUUGUAGCCCAAUAACAGGAACAGAUGAAACCAAAGAUGCAAAGAUCCCUGCC
RNAcentral lists this unclassified non-coding RNA (350 nucleotides) under Hevea brasiliensis (rubber tree). The record is from RNAcentral. Lineage: Eukaryota; Viridiplantae; Streptophyta; Magnoliopsida; Malpighiales; Euphorbiaceae.